Molecule: ribosomal RNA, 491 nt
Filed under: uncultured bacterium
Lineage: Bacteria
Description: partial 16S ribosomal RNA
Rfam family: Bacterial small subunit ribosomal RNA
Source: RNAcentral
AGUGAACGCUGGCGGUAGGCCUAACACAUGCAAGUCGAACGGCAGCACAGUAAGAGCUUGCUCUUACGGGUGGCGAGUGGCGGACGGGUGAGGAAUACAUCGGAAUCUACUUUUUCGUGGGGGAUAACGUAGGGAAACUUACGCUAAUACCGCAUACGACCUACGGGUGAAAGCAGGGGAUCUUCGGACCUUGCGCGAUUGAAUGAGCCGAUGUCGGAUUAGCUAGUUGGCGGGGUAAAGGCCCACCAAGGCGACGAUCCGUAGCUGGUCUGAGAGGAUGAUCGGCCACCCUGGACCUGAGACCCGGUCCGGCCUCCUCCGGGGGGCAGCGGUGGGAAUUUUUGGCCAUUGGGCGCAGGCUUGUCCCAGCCAACCCGCUUGGGUGAGGAAGGCUUUCGGUUUGUAAAGCCCUUUUGUUGGAAAAGAAAAGCGGCAGGUAAUACCCCGCUGUUCUGACGGUACCCAAAGAAUAAGCACCGGCUAACUUCGUG